CAACCACAAGCCGAGAUAGACAAGAGAAUUUAUAAGUUUUAUCUCAAAUUAUAAGGUCCUUCAAGUUACUUGGAAGAAUUCCAAGAAGGAACAAUCUUAAUUAAGUUGGCUCCACAAACCUUUUGUGAUCAUUGUGCAUGAUUUAGUUUGAGUCGGCAACAUUAGGAGGUUAAACUUUUUAUAGAAUAAAACUAAAAAGCUCGGAAUUCGAAUUAGCAUUACAAUGAAUGGAACAUUGUUACACACACAAAUGGACCAGAAUUUCAAGUGUGGGCAUGUGAGUGAUGGCUUUAUUUUCACCUCUUUCCUCUUCGGAUCACUUUAGUUGUUGUGUUGUUGGUGAGAGAGGAGGGAUGGAUGGUUUUUGCUGCUGUUUUUUAUAGGUUGGUGCUCCUCUCUUCGUUGGGAGUGUUGGCCUGAACUACAGGUUGCUGGGGGCUGAUUUCAGGGCUGCUGUGUUGUGGCUGUUUUGGAGUCAAAUUAAGGGCUGAUUUCAGGGGAGGUUAUGGCUGGUUUCUGUUCAGUGCUGGCGAGGAAGGCAGCUGGGGUUUGGUUCAGUUGUGGAGGGAAUGGCAGCUGAGUUUUAUUCGACACUAGUUCCAACUUGGUUGUUUAUUUGCUGAACAUUUUAUUUUUUUUAUAAUCUUCUAUUAUUAUAUUUUGUGCGAUAUGCUGAA
This is a long non-coding RNA of Populus trichocarpa (black cottonwood), 677 nucleotides long. RefSeq lists it as uncharacterized. The transcript has 2 exons. Lineage: Eukaryota; Viridiplantae; Streptophyta; Magnoliopsida; Malpighiales; Salicaceae. The record is from RefSeq and is a predicted model, not a curated record.